GACGAACCGUGCGAACGUUGUUCGGAUUCACUGGGCUUAAAGGGCGCGUAGGCGGGCAGUCAAGUCGGGGGUGAAAUCCCACAGCUCAACUGUGGAAGUGCCCCCGAUACUGGGUGCCUGGAGGGAGGUAGGGGUGUGUGGAACUUCCGGUGGAGCGGUGAAAUGCGUAGAUAUCUGGAGGAACACCGGUGGCGAAGGCGGCAUCCUGGACCAAUACUGACGCUGAGGAGCGAAAGCCAGGGGAGCAAACGGG
Molecule: ribosomal RNA, 253 nt
Filed under: uncultured bacterium
Lineage: Bacteria
Description: partial 16S ribosomal RNA
Rfam family: Bacterial small subunit ribosomal RNA
Source: RNAcentral